This 253-nucleotide ribosomal RNA is filed under the name uncultured bacterium. Its description in RNAcentral is "partial 16S ribosomal RNA". It matches the Rfam family "Bacterial small subunit ribosomal RNA", at positions 524 to 776 of the family's 1533-position model. The record is from RNAcentral.
UACGUAGGGAGCGAGCGUUAUCCGGAUUUACUGGGUGUAAAGGGAGCGUAGACGGUUUAGUAAGUCUGGAGUGAAAGGCGGGGGCCCAACCCCCGGACUGCUUUGGAAACUGUUUGACUGGAGUACAGGAGAGGUAAGUGGAAUUCCUAGUGUAGCGGUGAAAUGCGUAGAUAUUAGGAGGAACACCAGUGGCGAAGGCGGCUUACUGGACUGUAACUGACGUUGAGGCUCGAAAGCGUGGGGAGCAAACAGG